GCGAAAUGAAUCCAAUGAGAAGAUUUUGGAAUGAAACUCCUGAUUUUUAUACACCUUAACUUCAUCUUAAAUAACUUUACUCCCUGGAGUCUCACAACAACUUUGAGUGAAAGACAGAAACCUUUUCUGAUGGGACUAAAGUUGGCCAUCAGAUCAAACUCAGUUCUAAAACUUUGUACCAAAAGGAAAUCCUUCCCACAGUAAAGCACGGUGGAGGCAGUAUAAUGGUGUGGACCUUUAUUAUGGUUUGGGACACUUUUUUCUACAUUGCAUUUUAUGGAUAAUGUUUUCCUCUAAGAAGUGAAUGCCUGCAGCAAAUGAGACAGUUAUGACUGGAGAACUUCCUUAUUUAUUAAAUGAUUUCAACGUUUGUUCGAUUGUUUCAGCAGAUAUGAAGUGUUUAUCAAAGUCGCGUCAUCACGGCCUGCCAGGAAGCCUUCAUUAAAACAGACGGAGGAUUUUGAAACUGUGGGACGUCCACAGAGUCACCUUGGUCGAUCUGUUGUUAAAACCCUGAGGAGAACUUUAAUCACAGGGAUUUGGUCUCGGAAGAAAGGCUUUAAAAUCCUGUGUUACAUAAUUCAGAAACAGUGACAGUGACUAAAAUAGUGGUAGAUUUUGAAAUGGUGGCAUGUCCGUGGAGUUUUUGCAGGUAUCAGUCAGAGUUUCAUCUCAGUGAGAAGGAAACUGUGAGCUUUGAGUCUGGAUGGUGACAGUAACUGUUUUGCAAUAAUCCUCUGGAUUAAAAAUGCAGGAAAAUGUAACUUUCUUUGUGCUUGUUCAGACUGAUAAAACACCGAUUACAUGACUUAUCACAGAGUGAGUCAGUCAUUUGAAUUAUGAAUAAGAAUGUUCUUGGGCAAAAUGUAAUUUACACACCUGGUGAUGUUGUUUAUUUUCCUUUUUUUAGUAGAACAAACUCGUUAUUUUCUGGAAAUAGUUGAUGAAACAUAAAACAGCCAAAAGAGAUUUUCAUUUCCUGUUUUAAUUAUUUUAUCUUUGACUUUUUGUUAAUGUGAUAAUGGCUAAUUUAGGUUUCUGCUGUUAAGAUAUGUAAAUGAAUAUUCUUGUUUUUAUUUUUUUGUAAUAUUUAGCUUAUGAAACAAUUUACAUUAAAAACCACAAUCAUAUCAGUGUUUUAAAAUAAAAAUGAUAUGAUACAAAAUAAACAUAAAUUUAAGAACAAAAUCUUGUGUUUAAUAGAAAAAUUGUUUAAGUUACUAAAUUACUCUCAUACUUUGUUCCGGAUUAAUGUUCCAAACAGAAAUAUAAGAUAAAAAAGAUAUUAGAAUCUGAUUUGUAAAAAUGUAUGAUAUGUUCAUAUUUGUGACACAUGUUGUUAAUAGAAAUGAAUAAAUAGUGUGAUUGUUAUCUAUAUUAUAUUGUUUCUGUUUUAUUCUCAUUUCACUUCAUUUUUUAAGAAGUUCCCUUCAUAAAAGAACUCAAUUGAUAUUUGAUGUUUCAAAGAUCAAAGAAAUAAAAAAUGGUAAAUGUUAUUAAAUUUGAUCAAUAGGAUAACCCAUUGAUCUAUGAGUUAAUUCAACUCAAAAAUACGCUGUUUUAGGAUCAUUUGACUUUUUUAUGUAUCACAGGUCCAAUUUUCUUUCUGGUAUUGCAGCACAGAUUUGUUAUUGGAUUUUAUGGAGUAAGAUAUCUGUCAAAUACAGAUAUAUUCAUAAAGACGACAUUUAGCACAAAUCAAUACUUUGUACUAAACUUUAUCUAGAAUACUUUUUAACAUUAAAUGUUAAUAAUUCCAUGUUUCAGUAAAUAAAAAUCAAACUGCAAUACUUAUAUUUAGUGUAGUAUACAAAGACCUUUUCCU
Oryzias melastigma (Indian medaka) is the source of this 1825-nucleotide long non-coding RNA. RefSeq lists it as uncharacterized. The record is from RefSeq and is a predicted model, not a curated record. NCBI's taxonomy places the organism in Eukaryota, Metazoa, Chordata, Actinopteri, Beloniformes, Adrianichthyidae. The transcript is spliced from 2 exons.